GUUUGCCAAACCACGAUUUGGUGGCUCACUGAGCUCAGCAGUGAAGGCAAACCUCAGUGUUGCCCGAAAACCCACUCAGCUUCUUUCCAGCACAGUCACUGCCUCGUCUGACAGUGUGAAUAUGGCCACUCUGACUAUCCCUGCAUCCACAUCACCAGUAAUGAGGACCAUCUCCCCUCUCUCUCUCCCUCCUCCCUCCUUCCUCUGUGACCAUCACCAAGCGUCCCAGCACUGACAUUUCCCCAAGUCCUCCUGUCUCUCAGUGCCUUUGCCUCCAUUCAGUAAUCCACCUACAACCAGUCAACACUGGUUGCCGGAAAAACUUAAAAAAACUCUUCCUGUCCAAGAUCAGCAGUGGAUUGCUGCUGCAUUAUGGAGGAACCAGCACCUCCGUGACGACCUCAGUUUGUGGUAUGAACCACCAAAUCCAUCUUUAAUCUCCCACCAGGUCCCCACUCCAGAGCACUUUUUCUGCCACCGGCUUCUUUUGUGGAUGCCAUACCACCUCUGGAGGGUUAGAGUGUUCUGCCCCAGAUGCAGUGGGCACCUCACAGGAGGGGGUGUUCACAAAAGAGCACGUCAGGUGUUGGACAUUGACAGGAACUACAUAAUGAUCACAGAGACAUUGAGGUGCAGUAACGCUGGAUGCAAGGCAUCCUACCUGUCAUCUACCAGUGCUGGACUGGAUCAGCUGGACCUUCCUCAUCGGUCGGAGUUCAGGAUCAUAAUGACACGCAAGUGAGCUGCUGUCAUCACAUUUGAUCUAUGCACAUAUUUGAUUUAUCCCAAAUUCUUUUCAAAUUCUAUUCACACACAAAUUUUGUGUCAUCACUAAUCUGCUGUAGGAAGAUUUUACUGGAUAUUAGUCAUAGUGGAUAUUAGUCAAACACAUAUGCAGGUACACUGUUGCCCCUCUUGCCCCAGCAGUACCUCCCCCUCCUGCCAGUGCUCAACCUGCCUCAAAGGCUAAAUUCAACAAAAGGAAGGUUGAGUUUAAUACGUGAAAAUGUGGACAAUUUAGGACUGCUGAGGCUGGGCACAGCCAGUAUCGUGGCAUUAUCUACUGCCCAAAUACAGAAACGGUCACGAAAGAGGUCUGGUUGGAACAGAUCAAAAAGUCCUGAAGACAUGAAGUGUAAAUAUUACAAUGCAUGUAAAUAAGUUGACGUUGUAGUGUGAGUGUGUAUAGUUCUUUUAAAGAUUUCUACUGUUUUCUGUUUCAAGCUAUUUUUUAAAUUAGUAUUUUCAUACUACAAUAAGUAUAUAAUUUUGUUUUGUAAAUAUCUAAUACCAAGCAUGUAAAUAAGUUGUGAUGUUGUACUAUGUGUCGAUGUAGUGUUUUAAGGAUUUUUAAGGAG
Acanthochromis polyacanthus (spiny chromis) is the source of this 1358-nucleotide long non-coding RNA. RefSeq lists it as uncharacterized. The transcript has 3 exons. NCBI's taxonomy places the organism in Eukaryota, Metazoa, Chordata, Actinopteri, Pomacentridae. The record is from RefSeq and is a predicted model, not a curated record.